AAUCAACGCUGGCGGCGUGCCUCAGACAUGCAAGUCGAACGCGAAAGUUCCCUUCGGGGGCGGAGUAGAGUGGCGCACGGUGAGUAACACGUAGGUAAUCUACCUUUGGGUUGGGGAAGUAACAGCCGGAACGGACUGCUAAUACCGCAUAAUGCAGCGGCUCGACAUCGAGACAGUUGUUAAAGACGGGGGAGUCGCAAGACCUCGCGCCUAAAGAGGAGCCUGCGGCGGAUUAG
This 236-nucleotide ribosomal RNA is filed under the name uncultured bacterium. RNAcentral's name for it is "partial 16S ribosomal RNA". It matches the Rfam family "Bacterial small subunit ribosomal RNA", at positions 32 to 244 of the family's 1533-position model. The record is from RNAcentral.